AGAACAAUCUGAGCUAAGCUUCUGACUAGAGCAACUGGUUCCAUCACAAGAAAGAAAAGUACCAAGAGCUAUUAACAAAGUGCUGGAGUCCAGAAAUGGCAUUUACAAAGCUGGAGCAGACAGAACUGAAUUCUGGGAGGAAGAAAGAGAGUCAGAGAGAGCCGCCAUAGAGCCGCCAGGUCAGACAUGCUGAAUCUUUCCCGGGCUUCACAGAACUUUUCUAGUAGACCGAAUUACCUGGCCGGCCGAUGGUGUCUUGUUCUCCAGUACUGCAUCAGCCUCUCUAACUGCAGCUACGAUUCUGGCAAACACGCUUGUAUUUUCACCACCCGCUUCAUGAGGACACUCCUCCAGCACACAAGGGUUCCGGUUAAACAUUUGGAAAAACGGUGUGUUCUUAGUAGGCUCUGAGCGUGUCACAUUGAAGGCAAAGGAAACCGCUGGCAGGUGUUCAUCCCAGGUGUUGGGGUGCUCGGCACAGUAUUUGGAGAGAAAGGCUUUGACUGUGCUCGCUGUACUCUCAGAUGCAUGGACACUUCCAGAAGCAUGAGAAAUUACAAUCUGUUUUGUACCGAACAAUCUAUACAGUUCUGCAUUGAUCUGAAACAUACAAAAAACAAAACUGUUCAAUACUCGUAUAAUUCCUCUGGCUUAAAAAAGGUUUCAAGAAACCCAACUCUUGUCUUUCACUGACCACAGGCAUUCAGCUAAAAUAUGUAAGCAUUCUGGGUAGAAUUCCACUGACUGGGUCCUUACUAAAUGCCGAUCAACACAUUAGGUGUUAUUUUUUGUUACUACACGUCAGGAUGACUUUAUGGUGUAUUAUUAACUCAAUCUUAAAGGCACGAGCUUAAGCUUUGGGAGUCUAAGCACCUAAUAUACACGUACAACAGGAAAUGGAAGGGCAGAGUUCCAAACGAACUUUGUGGUCAAGUAACUUUCAAUUCAGUAGACUGUUUUUUUUUUUUUUCUCAAGAAACCACGAGGCCACAUGACACAGUCACUAAGCUUCUGCACUCAGUUUCCUCAUUUCUAAGUUGAGAACAAGCCUACCCACAGCUGCCUAGGGGUGCUCACAAAGUAAUGCUUGUGAGAUACCAAAUAGUUCUCAAUAAAGAGUACGGAAUUUAUAGAAUUUAACGGCAAUUACUAUCGCUGUUAUGAUAAUAUUUUUUAUGGCCAGGACUUCAAAAGGAAUUCAGUCUGAGUUUAGGACACUUUAAUAGUAAGUCUUUCAAACACAGAACAACUAUUUUCCUGCCUUGAUGCUCCCCUAUUCUCUGUUAUUUUCAUUUCGUUAACCUUCAGCUAAUAAACUUCUCUUUGGAAGAAUA
Long non-coding RNA from Microtus ochrogaster (prairie vole), 1334 nucleotides. RefSeq lists it as uncharacterized. The record is from RefSeq and is a predicted model, not a curated record. NCBI's taxonomy places the organism in Eukaryota, Metazoa, Chordata, Mammalia, Rodentia, Cricetidae. The transcript has 3 exons.